AACGGGUUGUAGCUGACCUCAAUUGGGGUAUGUGCACGCCUGGCUCAUUCCACUCUCAAACCCCUGUGCACUUAUUGUAGGCUUGGUGGGAUAGGCUGACUUUUAUUAGUCGGUCUUGAAAGCUUCGCCUAUGUUUUAAUACAAACGCUUCAGUUUAGAAUGUAAUCAUUGCUAACAAGCAAAUUAAAUACAACUUUCAGCAACGGAUCUCUUGGCUCUCGCAUCGAUGAAGAACGCAGCGAAAUGCGAUAAGUAAUGUGAAUUGCAGAAUUCAGUGAAUCAUCGAAUCUUUGAACGCACCUUGCGCUCUUUGGUAUUCCGAAGAGCAUGCCUGUUUGAGUGUCAUGGUAUCAUCAACCUUCAACACUUUUGUGAUUGAAGGCUUGGAUUUGGAGGUUGUGUCGGUGCAUUUGUAUCGACUCCUCUGAAAUGUAUUAGCGUGAAUCUUACGGAUCGCCUUCGGUGUGAUAAUUACUGCGCCGUGGACGUGAAGUAUAACAGUGUUCGUGCUUAUAAUCGUCUUUAACAGAGACAACACUUUGACAAUCUGACCUCAAAUCAGGUAGGAUUACCCGCUGAACUUAAGCAUAUCAAUAAGCGGAGGAAAAGAAACUAACAAGGAUUCCCCUAGUAACUGCGAGUGAAGCGGGAAAAGCUCAAAUUUAAAAUCUGGCGGUCUUCGAUCGUCCGAGUUGUAGUCUGGAGAAGUGUCUUCCGCGCUGGCCGUGUACAAGUCUCUUGGAACAGAGCGUCAUAGAGGGUGAGAAUCCCGUCUUUGACACGGACUACCAGUGCUUUGUGAUGCGCUCUCAAAGAGUCGAGUUGUUUGGGAAUGCAGCUCAAAA
Molecule: ribosomal RNA, 845 nt
Filed under: Phlebia cf. floridensis RG-2014
Lineage: Eukaryota; Fungi; Basidiomycota; Agaricomycetes; Polyporales; Meruliaceae
Description: eukaryotic LSU rRNA
Rfam family: Eukaryotic large subunit ribosomal RNA (bases 549-845)
Source: RNAcentral